RNAcentral lists this transfer RNA (70 nucleotides) under Anguilla anguilla (European eel). RNAcentral's name for it is "tRNA-Ser". The record is from RNAcentral. Lineage: Eukaryota; Metazoa; Chordata; Actinopteri; Anguilliformes; Anguillidae.
GGCACGGUGGUGCAAUGGGUAGCACUGUCGCCUCAAAAGAAGGUGCUUGGUUCGAAUCCGGCCUGGACCU